UACAGAGGUCUCAAGCGUUGUUCGGAUUCAUUGGGCGUAAAGGGUGCGUAGGCGGCGCGGUAAGUCGGGUGUGAAAUCUCGGAGCUUAACUCCGAAACUGCAUUCGAUACUGCCGUGCUUGAGGACUGGAGAGGAGAUUGGAAUUCACAGUGGAGCAGUGAAAUGCGUAGAUAUUGUGAGGAACACUAGUGGCGAAGGCGAAUCUCUGGACAGUUCCUGACGCUGAGGCACGAAGGCCAGGGGAGCAAACGGG
RNAcentral lists this ribosomal RNA (253 nucleotides) under uncultured bacterium. RNAcentral's name for it is "partial 16S ribosomal RNA". It matches the Rfam family "Bacterial small subunit ribosomal RNA", at positions 524 to 776 of the family's 1533-position model. The record is from RNAcentral.